UAUAAUUCUUGAAGAAAAUCGUGCUUGAGUUUUAGAUAUGAGGGGUUCAUAUUUUCGAGAACAAAAAUAGAAAAGGAAAUGAAUGGGAGAAAAGAAGCAAAUACUCUUUUCAAUAAAGCCUUCACAUAAAACAUAUAUUCCGUAUAAAUUCUAAAUUCUAACAAAAGAUCCGCUGUAGCACAUUGUCGAAAGCAAUCAUUCUAGUUUAAUACUGGAUCAGAAUUCCGGGUUCGAAGCCCGGCAGCGGAAAAAUCUUUUUGGUGCUUUUUAUAUUGUAUCUUGUAUGACAAUUGAAGAUACUUUUUCAUAUUGUUCUUUCUUCUCUACUCAUUGUUAUGGUUUUUAUACUAUAUAAUAUGAUUCUUGAAAAAAAUCGUGCUUGAGUUUUAGAUAUGAGGGAGUCAUAUUUUCGAGAACAAAAACAGAAAAGGAAAUGAAAGGGAGAAAAUAAGCAAAUACUCUCUUCAAUAAAACGUUCACAUAGAACAUUUAUACCGUAGAAAUUCUAAGUUCUAACAAAAGGUCCGCUGUACCACAUUGUCUAAAGCAACCAUUCUAGUUUAAUACUAGAUCAAAAUUCCGGGUUCGAAGCCCAGCAGUGGAAAUAUCUUUUUGGUGCUUUUAAUACUGUAUCUUGUAUGACAAUUGAAGAUACUUUCUCAUAUUGUUCUUUCUUCUCUGCUCAUUGUUAUGGCUUUUAUACUAU
This 706-nucleotide small RNA is filed under the name Arabidopsis thaliana (thale cress). RNAcentral's name for it is "ATSL277130". The record is from RNAcentral. Lineage: Eukaryota; Viridiplantae; Streptophyta; Magnoliopsida; Brassicales; Brassicaceae.